Molecule: unclassified non-coding RNA, 551 nt
Filed under: Hevea brasiliensis (rubber tree)
Lineage: Eukaryota; Viridiplantae; Streptophyta; Magnoliopsida; Malpighiales; Euphorbiaceae
Source: RNAcentral
GGAGGAGCGAGUGAGGCGGACGGAGAUUACGACGACCGCCGCGACGGAUCUCCGUCCGCGAGCGGUUACUCCUCCGAAUCAUCGAAAUGGAAACCGUCUCCGGCGGCGUCUCACGGAUCGACAGCGAGGCGAGGAAGACAAGGACUGAGUCGGAACGUUUCUGGUCUCGCGUUUUGCUUGAGUCCACUAGUGAGAGCUAGCCCUAACCACCGUCACUGGAACCAGAAAGGACUGCCACCGGAAUUUGCGUAUACCGGCGAUGUUAGGGUUCCGACCAAGCCUCAUCUCUCCGAAGCGGCGUCGUUUUGCGCGAACCGGUCUCGAAAACUUGCGGAUUUUGGAAGAGUCAAUGCCAACCGUUGAUUUCGAAGACCGUUGACAUCUUAAUUGACGGUGCUGAUUUGAUCUCUUCACACUAAAAAAAAGAAAUUUCAAGAAGUACGGUUUUGCCCCUUCUCCCUCUCUACACCAAUUGUUUAUUAUUACUAUCUUCAGCUCAUUCUGUGUAAAAGUUGAAAAAAAGAAAAAAUUAAAAGAUCAAAAUAGUUUGA